GCCGGGGUGGCGGAAUUGGCAGACGCGCAUGGCUUAGGACCAUGUCUCGUUUAGAGGUGGGAGUUCGACUCUCCCCCUCGGCA
Molecule: transfer RNA, 83 nt
Filed under: Candidatus Omnitrophota bacterium
Lineage: Bacteria; Pseudomonadati; Candidatus Omnitrophota
Description: tRNA-Leu
Rfam family: tRNA
About the family: Transfer RNA (tRNA) molecules are approximately 80 nucleotides in length. Their secondary structure includes four short double-helical elements and three loops (D, anti-codon, and T loops).
Source: RNAcentral